Hirundo rustica (Barn swallow) is the source of this 869-nucleotide long non-coding RNA. RefSeq lists it as uncharacterized. Lineage: Eukaryota; Metazoa; Chordata; Aves; Passeriformes; Hirundinidae. The transcript has 2 exons. The record is from RefSeq and is a predicted model, not a curated record.
CUGGUAAGGGGAGGAUCAUCAUGGAGGAGGAAUCUUGAGGAGUAUGGAGGAGAGAAUCAUGAAGCAGGAUCCUGGGGAAAGAGAAUCACUGCUGCAAGCGCUCAUGCGACUCAGAGAAGAGGCUCCCCCAUCCCAGGACCAGCUGAGCUGUCACCUGCCAUCACCUUCCCACAGAAAGGCCACACUGAAUGUGUGAGGAUAAGGCUGCACACAGAAGAAUGUCCUGCCUGCAUCCCAGAUGGCUGCCAUCCCCACACAAAUGGUAUCACUAAAACUGUGCUGGACCUGAAAGACCAGUUCCUGUCCAGUUCCAGCACCCUGCUGUAACAAAACCAGGACAUCUGAGGCUGCUUAAGGAAACCAGUCUGGCUCUGGGAUAAAAUCAGCUGCGUGAGCCCACACAGGAAUGCAGCUAGAGAGAGGGACCUACCAGGGUUUGCCACUUGGGGAUGUCCAGUCUGCUGCUCCAGCACCCCAUGUGCGUGGAUGGAGUAGGGUCGUGAGGCAUUGUUCUUGAACACGAUGUUGAGAAUGUCGCCCACUUCCGCCCACAGAAAAGGGCCUUGAGACAGGAAUAGUGUACUCUGAGACCAGCAAAAUCCAUCAGCAUAUCUCCUGAGAUAUUCCCACCCCUCUCUCAACGUCUUCUCCCCAGAAAUACUACCUUACAAUAUUUAUGAUGUCCCCCUUCCUCUUCUCUGCCUCCCAAAAAGAGAGCUGGAUGUCAGUCCCAACCCAAGUCUUAGGGAACUGGAGUGAUUUUCACAAGGAGAACAAUGAAGGUUACACAUCUUAACUGGGCACAGCACAGCUAUGGCUUGAUUUCUGAAUAUUGUUAUGCUAAAUGUCACAUGCUGAUCACCCCUUGC